CUGGUAGAGAUAUCAGUUCCCUUGUGGUUGGUGUGCAGGUGGUGCAUGGCUGUCGUCAGCUGGUGUCGUGAGAUGUGGGUUAAGUCCCGCAACGAGCGCAACCCUUGUUCCAUGUUGCCAGCGGGUGAUGCCGGGGACUCAUGGGAGACUGCCGGGGUCAACUCGGAGGAAGGUGGGGAUGACGUCAAGUCAUCAUGCCCCUUAUGUCCAGGGCUUCACACAUGCUACAAUGGCCUAUACAGAGGGCUGCGAGACCGUGAGGUGGAGCAAAUCCCUUAAAGUAGGUCUCAGUUCGGAUCGGGGUCUGCAACUCGACCCCGUGAAGUUGGAGUCGCUAGUAAUCGCAGAUCAGCAACGCUGCGGUGAAUACGUUCCCGGGCCUUGUACACACCGACAGUCACGUCACGAAAGUUGGUA
This 417-nucleotide ribosomal RNA is filed under the name uncultured bacterium. Its description in RNAcentral is "bacterial SSU rRNA". It matches the Rfam family "Bacterial small subunit ribosomal RNA", at positions 997 to 1416 of the family's 1533-position model. The record is from RNAcentral.